CCUACGGGAGGCAGCAGUGGGGAAUUUUGCGCAAUGCUCGUAAGAGUGAAGCAGCGACGCCGCGUGAAUGACGAAGGCCUUCGGGUCGUAAAGUUCUUUCGACAGGGGAGAAAAUGCCUAUAAGUAACUGUGUAUGUAUUGACGGUACCUGUAUACGCAGCCCCGGCUAACUCCGUGCCAGCCGCCGCGGUAAUACGGAGGGGGGGAGCGUUGUUCGGAGUGACUGGGCGUAAAGAGCACGUAGGCGGUGUUGUAAGUCAUUAGGCAAAGACUAGAGCUCAACUUUAGUAAGGCUAGUGAUACUAUAAUACUAGAGUAUGAGAGAGGAGUGCAGAAUGCCUGGUGUAGCGGUGAAAUGCGUAGAUAUCAGGAGGAAUACCGUUAGCGAAGGCGGCAAUCUGGCUGGAAACUGACGCUGAGGUGCGAAAGCGUGGGUAGCAAACAGGAUUAGAUACCCUAGUAGUC
This 465-nucleotide ribosomal RNA is filed under the name uncultured bacterium. Its description in RNAcentral is "partial 16S ribosomal RNA". It matches the Rfam family "Bacterial small subunit ribosomal RNA", at positions 338 to 795 of the family's 1533-position model. The record is from RNAcentral.